This 2499-nucleotide long non-coding RNA is filed under the name Panax ginseng (ginseng). RNAcentral describes it as "long non-coding RNA (PGIN_LNC011240)". The record is from RNAcentral. Lineage: Eukaryota; Viridiplantae; Streptophyta; Magnoliopsida; Apiales; Araliaceae.
UCGGAAGUUUUCAACAACUCUACUGGAAGAGACUAUUCAAAACCCUGUUUGUUGCACUUUCGUGAUAAAGGAACAGUUAAUAAAUUAUUCAAUAAGACAGCUAUUAUGCUCUAAGGCUAACGAUUACACAAAUGAAAGGUACAUCGCUUCCUAACAUGAUUCCAGAUUUAAUAAGUCAAUCUCUCCUGAUGUAAGAAUGGUUUUUGAUUUCUUUAGUUUCACUGGUUUUACUUUUAUUACUACUACUACUAUAUAAUCCAUUGCCAGGGAAGAAAAAUACAUCCAGAUUCUGAAGCAGAAAAUUUAUGGGAUUAAGUUAGAUGAACAACUCCAUAAACAUCUAUUUUAUAAGACAUUUGCCUAAUUGCCUUUCUUCUAGAACAACCUCAACACACACACCCCCACCGCCCCACCCCCAAAAAAAAAAAAGACGCACAGAGACAAAAAAGAAGAAGCCAGGGGUCACUCUUUUCUAUUUUCAGCAUACUUCAUCUAGUAUUUGUAUAAACUUUGUCCUGAUCUUAUAGUCACAUCUUAAAUAUACACUAAAAUAUUGUUCAUAUAUUCUAAUGAUUUGAGACCUCUAAGCAGACAAAUUACUGGAUUAUUAUCUGUCAAAUUUGUUAGCUUGCAGAGGCAAAUCAUACAGUCCAAAUCACCUAUGAGCCAUGAAGUUAUGUACUACAUUGAAAAUCUAAUUGACCUCUGCUUUAUAUAUCAGCCAUUACAAAUUGAACAGAUAGCUACAAAACAACCAAUUAAUGAUUAACCAACAAGUCCACAGUUACUAGAUUACAUCAAUCAACCAGUUGAGCAAAUUUGGAGAAAGAUGAUGUAUACUCUCACUAAGAGCAUUCAUUUAAUAUUUAAAUGAAUAAAAAAUAUAUUUCUACUUGAUUGUAUCCAUAUACAUGUUGGGAAAAAUCACCUCCCAAAUAUUGUUGUUUUUGAUAAAUUAGACAGAUAAAAUAUCAGCAUAUGCUAUAUGCUAAACAGAUUAAAUUUGCAAUUCCACCAAAAUAAUAACUAUGCAGGAAAUAAUGAGUAGAAAAUAUCCAACCACGAGACACCAAGAUUUUUACGUGGAAAACCCUCUAAAACUAAGAGGUAAAAACCACGGGACAAACUCCGAAUAAUUCACUAUAAUAAUUGAGAGAAUACAAAGAUAUCUUAAUUUGAGUACAAACUCAAAUUACUUCACCACAAUAACUAUAUGAUGGAACCCAAAUAAAACACCCUUUUAUUUGAACUAUCUUUUUCUUGCUCUCUUCCAUCCUCUCCCGGAUGGGAUUACUUUCACCCACCCUUUUCUUUUUCUCUCUGCUCUCAGAUGAGAGCUUGUAUUUUGGUGUGUCUAUUUCCCUUUCCUUAGCCUUCCUUUUAUAGCCGAAUGGAGGGAGGUAGCAAAGAAAAAGAACAGGCAGAAUUCAAAGGACUGAGGAGAAGGAAAAUUAAAUGGGCGGUCAAAUUCUUUAUUAAAUGGGUGAGGACCAAGGACUUUGACCAACAAUACACGCAUUUUUUGGAAGUAAUUAUAUCCGAAGUAAGCUUGUCCUGUUGCUCAUUUGGAGGGCUAAGAUCCUUGUUAGAAUUUAAGAACGAAUAAUAUUACAAUCACAGAUUAUAUGAAAGACGGAAAAAUAAGAACAUACGAUAUACCCAGGUUCACCGAUUUGGUUAGUCUUGCUUGUUUGAUGUAUUCAUAAGAUGACUCACACACUCUCUACAAUGAUUCACACACUAAACAAUAUUUUUUGUAGUAAUUAUCUGACAACAUUUCAUAACACAUAUAUUGUGAGUGACUCAGACUAGUGAGCUUUCCAGCAAGGUCACUGUAGCAGGACAAACGUUAUUGUUGUAUGGAGUUGCUGCAUGUGAACAUCAUAUUAAGAGGUAGGCCAGUGACAUGACAAGAGUAAGCUUCUAUCUACUCCAAACUAGUACCAAUUCAUGAAGGAUGUUUCCACUAAUCACUAGUAAACCUCGGUAAGAUGUGGGCUCAUAGCAAGUGAGCAGUCCAGUACACAAGCUUUGGAGUUUGAUUUUCAUCAAAGCUGGUCUUAGGGUCGAAAUGGAAUGCAAUGAGGAUAGAAAAUCAAAACUGUGGAACUAUGAGUUUAAAUAGUAUGCUCUAAACGAUUAAUCCUAUUAGUUAGCAGGUUAUAAGUAGAUGAGGAAGGUCUUAUCAGUACAUAAGUCAAGCUGAGACAGGCCAAGGCUAAUAUCAUUCAUUGGUUCUGGAUAGUCCUUCUUUAGUUCAGGUUUAAGAAAUGGUUUGAAAAAUUCUAAUACAGUUGUAAAAUUUCUAAUACAGUGAAGACUAAUUGUAGUCAAUUACAAGUGUGGCAUCAUUUGAAAUUCUUAUUAAUCAUGUUACGGUAUCUGAAAAACCUUUGGAACUGAGCCCCAUGUCUGCUUCCUGCUGAUUCAAUUUUGUAAGUUGUUCUAUCUUAUUUAUCCUUUUUAUACUCCCUUCAUAUAUGUAAAUAAAUAAAGGCC